UAUUGGACAAUGGGCGAAAGCCUGAUCCAGCAAUACCGCGUGUGUGAAGAAGGCCUUCGGGUUGUAAAGCACUUUCAGCGAGGAGGAAGGGUAGUGUGUUAAUAGCACAUUGCAUUGACGUUACUCGCAGAAGAAGCACCGGCUAACUCCGUGCCAGCAGCCGCGGUAAUACGGAGGGUGCAAGCGUUAAUCGGAAUUACUGGGCGUAAAGCGCACGCAGGCGGUUUGUUAAGUCAGAUGUGAAAUCCCCGCGCUUAACGUGGGAACUGCAUUUGAAACUGGCAAGCUAGAGUCUUGUAGAGGGGGGUAGAAUUCCAGGUGUAGCGGUGAAAUGCGUAGAGAUCUGGAGGAAUACCGGUGGCGAAGGCGGCCCCCUGGACAAAGACUGACGCUCAGUCGAA
This 401-nucleotide ribosomal RNA is filed under the name uncultured bacterium. RNAcentral's name for it is "bacterial SSU rRNA". It matches the Rfam family "Bacterial small subunit ribosomal RNA", at positions 362 to 757 of the family's 1533-position model. The record is from RNAcentral.